GUGAAUCAUCAAAUCUUUGAACGCACAUUGCGCUUGCUGGCAUCCCGGGAAGUAUGCCUGUUUGAGGGUCAGUAUUAAUAUAAAAUCGGUUCAGUUACAAAUUGUGACGUCUCCGGCGUCUGGGCUAUCUUAACAGUUUUGGUUAAGAGGCCUAAAAUUGACCUUUUUUGCGCAUCUUUAAACGUACAUAAAUUUUUUUUAUUCGUCUAUUCUUAAUGCCAAAAUCUAAUUAGA
RNAcentral lists this unclassified non-coding RNA (234 nucleotides) under Glomeraceae sp. RNAcentral describes it as "partial contains 5.8S ribosomal RNA and internal transcribed spacer 2". The stretch from base 1 to 71 matches the Rfam family "5.8S ribosomal RNA", at positions 84 to 154 of the family's 154-position model. Lineage: Eukaryota; Fungi; Glomeromycota; Glomeromycetes; Glomerales; Glomeraceae. The record is from RNAcentral.